GCUUCUACCAAGGUUCGAUUCGAGCGAAAGCGAGAAAGCUUUGCCGCAGGCAACGACCCGAAGGGCGAAACGCGCAGCGCUGAGUCAUCCUUCCCCCACCACCA
RNAcentral lists this small RNA (104 nucleotides) under Salmonella enterica subsp. enterica serovar Muenchen. Its description in RNAcentral is "partial RtT sRNA". It matches the Rfam family "RtT RNA", at positions 29 to 130 of the family's 130-position model. Rfam says of the family: This family represents a bacterial cis-regulatory element known as RtT RNA. The exact function of RtT is unknown although it is thought that it may be involved in changing the cellular response in relation to amino acid starvation. The record is from RNAcentral. RNAcentral also lists the same sequence under 1 other name. Lineage: Bacteria; Pseudomonadati; Pseudomonadota; Gammaproteobacteria; Enterobacterales; Enterobacteriaceae.